This 74-nucleotide ribosomal RNA is filed under the name Planctomycetota bacterium. Its description in RNAcentral is "partial 16S ribosomal RNA". It matches the Rfam family "Bacterial small subunit ribosomal RNA", at positions 1 to 74 of the family's 1533-position model. Lineage: Bacteria; Pseudomonadati; Planctomycetota. The record is from RNAcentral.
CAAGUGAAGGGUUUGAUCCUGGCUCAGAACGAACGUUGGCGGCGUGGAUGAGGCAUGCAAGUCGAACGUGAAAG